This 26-nucleotide ribosomal RNA is filed under the name Wolffia neglecta. RNAcentral describes it as "partial 26S ribosomal RNA". Lineage: Eukaryota; Viridiplantae; Streptophyta; Magnoliopsida; Alismatales; Araceae. The record is from RNAcentral.
CUCGGACCGCGACCCCAGGUCAGGCG